GACGAACGCUGGCGGCGCGCCUAACACAUGCAAGUCGAACGAGCGAGAGAGAGCUUGCUUUCUCAAGCGAGUGGCGAACGGGUGAGUAACACGUGAGGAACCUGCCUCAAAGAGGGGGACAACAGUUGGAAACGACUGCUAAUACCGCAUAAGCCCACGACCCGGCAUCGGGUAGAGGGAAAAGGAGCAAUCCGCUUUGAGAUGGCCUCGCGUCCGAUUAGCUAGUUGGUGAGGUAACGGCCCACCAAGGCGACGAUCGGUAGCCGGACUGAGAGGUUGAACGGCCACAUUGGGACUGAGACACGGCCCAGACUCCUACGGGAGGCAGCAGUGGGGAAUAUUGCACAAUGGGGGAAACCCUGAUGCAGCGACGCCGCGUGGAGGAAGAAGGUCUUCGGAUUGUAAACUCCUGUUGUUGAGGAAGAUAAUGACGGUACUCAACAAGGAAGUGACGGCUAACUACGUG
RNAcentral lists this ribosomal RNA (466 nucleotides) under uncultured bacterium. RNAcentral's name for it is "partial 16S ribosomal RNA". It matches the Rfam family "Bacterial small subunit ribosomal RNA", at positions 28 to 507 of the family's 1533-position model. The record is from RNAcentral.